UGCGCACAUGAGGGUAUUACCUGU
Molecule: unclassified non-coding RNA, 24 nt
Filed under: Mus musculus (house mouse)
Lineage: Eukaryota; Metazoa; Chordata; Mammalia; Rodentia; Muridae
Description: oocyte_clustered_small_RNA4418
Source: RNAcentral